CCUACGGGCGGCUGCAGUAGGGAAUCUUUCACAAUGGGCGAAAGCCUGAUGGAGCAACGCCGCGUGCAGGAUGAAGGCCUUCGGGUUGUAAACUGCUUUUAUAAGCGAGAAAUAUGAUGGUAACUUAUGAAUAAGGAUCGGCUAACUACGUGCCAGCAGCCGCGGUCAUACGUAGGAUCCGAGCAUUAUCCGGAGUGACUGGGUGUAAAGAGUUGCGUAGGUGGCAAGCGUUAUCCGGAUUUACUGGGUGUAAAGGGCGUGUAGGCGGGAAAGCAAGUCAGAUGUGAAAACCAUGGGCUCAACCUGUGGCCUGCAUUUGAAACUGUUGUUCUUGAGUACUGGAGAGGCAGACGGAAUUCCUAGUGUAGCGGUGAAAUGCGUAGAUAUUAGGAGGAACACCAGUGGCGAAGGCGGUCUGCUGGGCAGCAACUGACGCUGAGGCGCGAAAGCGUGGGGAGCAAACAGGAUUAGAUACCCCAGUAGUC
This 485-nucleotide ribosomal RNA is filed under the name uncultured bacterium. RNAcentral describes it as "partial 16S ribosomal RNA". It matches the Rfam family "Bacterial small subunit ribosomal RNA", at positions 338 to 795 of the family's 1533-position model. The record is from RNAcentral.